AAAAGCUUUUUUUUUUUUUAUGAUUCCAGGAAGGCCUUUGAGAGGCGAUAAAUGCGGGAGGUGACCUUCAAACCAUGACUGAUUUUGCAUCUUAAGCCUGCUUCGUUUUCAGCAGAAUACAUGCUCUCAGAUCUGUCAUGAGCUUCUGAAAAUCUCCGGUCUACUUGGAAUCUGAAUAUGAGCUGCAUGUAUUUGAUCUUAGUGAGAAGCUGUGACGGAGCAGUCACAGUGUUUCCUGUCUCAGAGUCUUAGUACUCCAGGUAUUCUGAUUUUCUUAGAUGGAGACAAGGAUGCUAGGCAGCUAUGUCUGGACAAGUGUACAGCUACUCUAGCUUGUUCCCAAUGAUCUGUUUGUUAAUCACUAAUAAUAUCCAUGGACCAAAACCCUCGAGUCUGCACUUUCUUGAUGGAGUUAACUGCUAUAAGGGCAUUGACUGGUAAGAAAAUUGCCUAAAUGUAGCAAAUUAUGAAGAAGUACUG
This 480-nucleotide long non-coding RNA is filed under the name Dromaius novaehollandiae (emu). RNAcentral describes it as "lncRNA (ENSDNVG00000007726.1)". The record is from RNAcentral. Lineage: Eukaryota; Metazoa; Chordata; Aves; Casuariiformes; Dromaiidae.